This is a long non-coding RNA of Rhododendron vialii, 834 nucleotides long. RefSeq lists it as uncharacterized. The record is from RefSeq and is a predicted model, not a curated record. NCBI's taxonomy places the organism in Eukaryota, Viridiplantae, Streptophyta, Magnoliopsida, Ericales, Ericaceae. The transcript is spliced from 3 exons.
CUCUAAGAGCAUGUACACCAGAAUAGCCAAACUAGGCAUUUGAGCUAUUUUAGCUACCAAAAUAAGAGAGAGGCUCCCACACCAUCCUCUGUUAAUACAUCGGUAUAUUAGAGCAUCCUUCUGACCUCGCUUCUUCUACAGAGGAACUGUUCAUGAGCAAUCCAAUAUUCUAUCAAUUUAUUCUCCCGCGCUUCACUUCUCCAGCGAUGAUUUUCUCCCGCCUACUCCUGCCUUUUCUCCCUCUCUCUCUCUCUCUCUCUCUCUCUCUCUCUUUGUGGUAAGAUUUCCUUUCAUCCCUGGAUUUCUUCUCUCGUUUUAUGUCGGGUUUGCAUCUCAGGUAUGAAAUCCCUAACUUUUAUUGUAUUUUUUUUUUGUAUGUGUUUGAUAGAGAAAUUAGUGUACAAUGAAUCCAUGAUCAUAGUUAGGGCUUAAAAUCUUGUACGAAACAACAUGAAAAUCUGCAUUCAGAUCACUAAGAGAAAACAUGAAACCCUAUAUAACCAAACCGUUCAACUGAGCGAUUGACAUAGAUGAGUGCAAGAGACGCAAUUCUCUAAUUUUUGUGCAUAAUACCUGCUACUGUUUUUUCCUUGGAUAAGAUUGGAGCUUUUGUUGGGAGUCAUGUUGAUGAACAAAAUUGUUGAAGAAAACUGUUCACUAACUGUUCGAUAAAUUUACUGAGUGAGUUUUAAGGGACGCGAGUUUUAAGCAUGGGGUUGGGAGUUCGAUUCUUGGCCUCUUCACUUUUUAGUUAGCAGUUCGUAACUCUGAUCGAUCCUAACCAGGGACUUGCAUCUCCUAGUUCUCUGUUCCUAAUGAUUGGCAGGCCUCUCC